GGCGCGGUACGCAAACCCUGGCAAAGCGGCCGGCUUGAGAGGCUGGUGUCUGCGGGUUCGAUUCCCGCUCGCGCUA
Molecule: transfer RNA, 76 nt
Filed under: Gemmataceae bacterium
Lineage: Bacteria; Pseudomonadati; Planctomycetota; Planctomycetia; Gemmatales; Gemmataceae
Description: tRNA-Leu
Rfam family: tRNA
About the family: Transfer RNA (tRNA) molecules are approximately 80 nucleotides in length. Their secondary structure includes four short double-helical elements and three loops (D, anti-codon, and T loops).
Source: RNAcentral